RNAcentral lists this ribosomal RNA (1508 nucleotides) under Wolbachia endosymbiont of Aleurodicus floccissimus. Its description in RNAcentral is "bacterial LSU rRNA". It matches the Rfam family "Bacterial large subunit ribosomal RNA", at positions 1292 to 2925 of the family's 2925-position model. The record is from RNAcentral. Lineage: Bacteria; Pseudomonadati; Pseudomonadota; Alphaproteobacteria; Rickettsiales; Anaplasmataceae.
GAAUGCUGACAUAAGUAGCGUAAAAGAGUGUGAAAAACACUCUCACCAAAAAUCUAAGGGUUCCUACGUUAAGUUAAUCUGCGUAGGGUUAGUCGGUUCCUAAGGCAAGUCCGUAAAGGAGUAGUCGAUGGCAAUUAGGUUAAUAUUCCUAAACCUCUUAAGUGUGACGGGUUUUGUAUUUGUAUAGGUCUUAUUGGAUUGAUCUAUGCUUAAAAGAAGCUCCAGGAAAUAGCACUUAUAUUUAUAAGGCCGUACCGUAAACCGACACUGGUGGAUGAGUAGAGUAUACUAAGGUGUUGAAAGAAUGAUGUUGAAGGAACUCGGCAAAUUAUACCUGUAACUUCGGAAGAAGGGUAACCUGCUUUUAGGCAACUAUGAGUAGGUGGCACAAAAUAGGGAGUAGCGACUGUUUAUUAAAAACAUGGCACUGUGCAAACACGAAAGUGGACGUAUACGGUGUGACGCCUGCCCGGUGCUGGAAGGUUAAUAGGAAGAGUGCAAGCUCUUAAUCGAAGCCCCAGUAAACGGCGGCCGUAACUAUAACGGUCCUAAGGUAGCGAAAUUCCUUGUCGGGUAAGUUCCGACCUGCACGAAUGGCGUAAUGAUGGCCACACUGUCUCCAACAUCAUUUCAGCGAAAUUGAAUUCCCCGUGCAGAUGCGGGGUACCCGCGGUUAGACGAAGAGACCCCGUGCACCUUUACUAUAACUUUAUAUUGCUGUUAAAAAUGUGAUGUGCAGGAUAGGUGGGAGACUUUGAAGUUAUGGCGCUAGCUGUAAUGGAGUCGAUCUUGAGAUACCACCUUUUACAUUUUUAAUAUCUAACUAUGUUUCAUUAUCUGAAACUAGGACAGUGUGUGGUGGGUAGUUUGACUGGGGCGGUCUCCUCCUAAAGAGUAACGGAGGAGCGCGAAGGUAAGCUAGAGCUGGUCGGAAAUCAGCUUGAUAGUACAAUGGCAUAAGCUUGCCUGACUGCGAGGCUGACAAGCCAAGCAGAGACGAAAGUAGGUCUUAGUGAUCCGGUGGUUCUGAAUGGAAGGGCCAUCGCUCAACGGAUAAAAGGUACUCCGGGGAUAACAGGCUGAUACCGCCCAAGAGUUCAUAUCGACGGCGGUGUUUGGCACCUCGAUGUCGGCUCAUCACAUCCUGGGGCUGAAGCAGGUCCCAAGGGUAUGGCUGUUCGCCAUUUAAAGUGGUACGCGAGCUGGGUUUAGAACGUCGUGAGACAGUUCGGUCCCUAUCUGCCGUGGGCGAAGGAAGUUUGAGAAGAGCUGACUCUAGUACGAGAGGACCGAGAUGGAUAUACCUCUGGUGUACCAGCUGUUAUGCCAAUAGCAUCGCUGGGUAGCUAUGUAUAGAUGGGAUAAUUGCUGAAAGCAUAUAAGCAAGAAACCCUCUUCAAAAAGAUUUCCCAAUUAAGGCCGUGGGAGACUACCACGUUGAUAGGCUAGGUGUAGAAGCAUGGUAACAUGUGAAGCUAACUGGUACUAAUAGCCUGAUUGAUUUAUUU